GAACACAGGUGCUGCAUGGCUGUCGUCAGCUCGUGACGUGAGAUGUUGGGUUAAGUCCCGCAACGAGCGCAACCCUUGUCCUUAGUUGCCAGCACGUAAUGGUGGGAACUCUAAGGAGACUGCCGGUGACAAACCGGAGGAAGGUGGGGAUGACGUCAAGUCAUCAUGGCCCUUACGGCCAGGGCUACACACGUACUACAAUGGUCGGUACAGAGGGUUGCAAUACCGCGAGGUGGAGCCAAUCCCAAAAAGCCGAUCCCAGUCCGGAUCGAAGUCUGCAACUCGACUUCGUGAAGUCGGAAUCGCUAGUAAUCGCAGAUCAGCUAUGCUGCGGUGAAUACGUUCCCGGG
This 350-nucleotide ribosomal RNA is filed under the name Dyella sp. VA60. Its description in RNAcentral is "bacterial SSU rRNA". It matches the Rfam family "Bacterial small subunit ribosomal RNA", at positions 1030 to 1378 of the family's 1533-position model. The record is from RNAcentral. Lineage: Bacteria; Pseudomonadati; Pseudomonadota; Gammaproteobacteria; Lysobacterales; Rhodanobacteraceae.